AGAGUUUGAUCCUGGCUCAGGAUGAACGCUAGCGGCAGGCUUAAUACAUGCAAGUCGAGGGAUAAGUAGUUUUCGGACUAUGAAGACCGGCGAACGGGUGCGUAACGCGUACACAACAUACCUAAUACUGGAGCAUAGCCUCGGGAAACUGGGAGUAAUUCUCCAUAGCAUUUCGAAGUGGCAUCACUUUGAAAUUAAAGCUCAGGCGGUAUUAGAUUGGUGUGCGUAUGAUUAGGUAGUUGGUAGGGUAACGGCCUACCAAGCCGACGAUCAUUAGCUGGCGUGAGAGCGCGACCAGCCACACUGGAACUGAGACACGGUCCAGACUCCUACGGGAGGCAGCAGUAGGGAAUAUUGGACAAUGGGCGAAAGCCUGAUCCAGCCAUGCCGCGUGGUAGAUGAAGGCCCUCUGGGUUGUAAAUACCUUUUAUCUGGGAAGAAAUAUCUCGUUCUCGAGAAACUGACGGUACCAGAUGAAUAAGCACCGGCUAACUCCGUGCCAGCAGCCGCGGUAAUACGGAGGGUGCAAGCGUUAUCCGGAUUCACUGGGUUUAAAGGGUGCGUAGGCGGAAUUGUAAGUCAGUGGUGAAAGCCCCGAGCUUAACUUGGGAACUGCAGGUCGAACUGCUUAGCUAGAGUAUGGUAGAGGGGUGUGGAAUUUCCUGUGUAGCGGUGAAAUGCGUAGAUAUAGGAAGGAACAUCAGUGGCGAAGGCGACACCCUGGACCGAUACUGACACUGAGGCGCGAAAGCGUGGGUAGCGAACAGGAUUAGAUACCCCGGUAGU
Molecule: ribosomal RNA, 786 nt
Filed under: uncultured bacterium
Lineage: Bacteria
Description: bacterial SSU rRNA
Rfam family: Bacterial small subunit ribosomal RNA
Source: RNAcentral